Long non-coding RNA from Carya illinoinensis, 1069 nucleotides. RefSeq lists it as uncharacterized. The transcript has 2 exons. Lineage: Eukaryota; Viridiplantae; Streptophyta; Magnoliopsida; Fagales; Juglandaceae. The record is from RefSeq and is a predicted model, not a curated record.
UCUACUACCUGCCCCUGCGUUUCCCUUGAUUUUUCAUUUACCCCAAAAUCCUCAAGUCUUUCUUUUCUUCCUCUCUCGAACUCCAUUAUUCUUCAACCCGUCGUUGUGCUGAAGCCUAUAAUCCCAAAUCUCUCCAGCGCCUUCUCCGAGUCUUGCCGUCGUCUCCGUGCUCUCCGGCUGUCAAAUUAAAAUCUUGAUAUCAGCUUGCUCCACGAAUCAUCCAGGAGGUUUUUCUUCCUCCACGAAUCUGCCACUACCUGUAGCAUUUGUUUGGGUAAAUGCGAAAGCUUUUUUUUUUUUUUUUUUCGAGGAUGAAAUGGUAUACGAGAUUAUUUUCCAUAGAUUUGUUUGGUAAUUUUUUGGGCAACUGUUGAUAUUAAAGAUGAUUAUUUGUUUGCUAUCUGCUGUAUUGCAUAAAAUUGCAUUCCAUGGCUUGAAUUGUAACGUCAUUUGCAGAGAGAUUUCACUACCAUGUUCGUAGCUUGUGUGAUUGCCAGGUCCCGUGUAUUAUAAGUUUCUUCAGCUGUUGAAAUGUUCCCCCAUUUUGGUGUAUUAUUGUUUUAAAACUUAUUUCUUUGGCGUCUGUCUCAGGUCGAGGCUCAUUUUUUCCUUUUGAGUUCUUACAUCAAUUUUGAUUAUUGUGGACUUCUUUUAUGUUUCUAAUGAUUAGUGGGUUGUAAAUCAUUUUAUUGCAAAAUUAAAUUUUCCAACUUGAAGUUUUAUGUUUCUAAUGAUUAGAGCAAUAAUAGUCAGCAAUAUAGAUCAGCACUGUCCCAGAUCCUAUGCACACUGGAAUCGGUCACAUCUUGAUUCUGAGUUAGGUGCAACUUUUAUUAGUAAGUAGUAGGUUAAAUCGAUCACACAUACUUGUUGUAAAUCAUGCACUUUCCAUGCUAUAAGACAACAUCAGUAGCCAACUCAAAUUGAAAUCGGCCCACCUAUCACCAUGUUUGGCACACUGGAAUUUUACUGAGUCUUUUGUCCUUUUGUUUUCCUCUUCAUUUCAUUACUUGGUGCAACUUGUCUGACUAGCAUAUGGCAAGAGGCUUCGCGGAUUGUUGGUGAAGAA